This 844-nucleotide ribosomal RNA is filed under the name uncultured bacterium. Its description in RNAcentral is "bacterial SSU rRNA". It matches the Rfam family "Bacterial small subunit ribosomal RNA", at positions 60 to 914 of the family's 1533-position model. The record is from RNAcentral.
AGUCGAACGAUGAUCAGGAGCUUGCUUCUGUGAUUAGUGGCGAACGGGUGAGUAACACGUGAGUAACCUGCCCCUGACUCUGGGAUAAGCGUUGGAAACGACGUCUAAUACUGGAUAUGACUUCCGGCCGCAUGGUCUGGUUGUGGAAAGAUUUUUUGGUUGGGGAUGGACUCGCGGCCUAUCAGCUUGUUGGUGAGGUAAUGGCUCACCAAGGCGACGACGGGUAGCCGGCCUGAGAGGGUGACCGGCCACACUGGGACUGAGACACGGCCCAGACUCCUACGGGAGGCAGCAGUGGGGAAUAUUGCACAAUGGGCGAAAGCCUGAUGCAGCAACGCCGCGUGAGGGAUGACGGCCUUCGGGUUGUAAACCUCUUUUAGUAGGGAAGAAGCGAAAGUGACGGUACCUGCAGAAAAAGCACCGGCUAACUACGUGCCAGCAGCCGCGGUAAUACGUAGGGUGCAAGCGUUGUCCGGAAUUAUUGGGCGUAAAGAGCUCGUAGGCGGUUUGUCGCGUCUGCUGUGAAAUCCCGAGGCUCAACCUCGGGCUUGCAGUGGGUACGGGCAGACUAGAGUGCGGUAGGGGAGAUUGGAAUUCCUGGUGUAGCGGUGGAAUGCGCAGAUAUCAGGAGGAACACCGAUGGCGAAGGCAGAUCUCUGGGCCGUAACUGACGCUGAGGAGCGAAAGCAUGGGGAGCGAACAGGAUUAGAUACCCUGGUAGUCCAUGCCGUAAACGUUGGGCGCUAGAUGUAGGGACCUUUCCACGGUUUCUGUGUCGUAGCUAACGCAUUAAGCGCCCCGCCUGGGGAGUACGGCCGCAAGGCUAAAACUCAAAGGAAUUGAC